This 818-nucleotide ribosomal RNA is filed under the name Rhodococcus koreensis JCM 10743 = NBRC 100607. RNAcentral describes it as "bacterial SSU rRNA". It matches the Rfam family "Bacterial small subunit ribosomal RNA", at positions 8 to 842 of the family's 1533-position model. Lineage: Bacteria; Bacillati; Actinomycetota; Actinomycetes; Mycobacteriales; Nocardiaceae. The record is from RNAcentral.
AGAGUUUGAUCCUGGCUCAGGACGAACGCUGGCGGCGUGCUUAACACAUGCAAGUCGAGCGGUAAGGCCCUUCGGGGUACACGAGCGGCGAACGGGUGAGUAACACGUGGGUGAUCUGCCCUGCACUUCGGGAUAAGCCUGGGAAACUGGGUCUAAUACCGGAUAUGACCAAGGACUGCAUGGUUUUUGGUGGAAAGGUUUACUGGUGCAGGAUGGGCCCGCGGCCUAUCAGCUUGUUGGUGGGGUAAUGGCCUACCAAGGCGACGACGGGUAGCCGACCUGAGAGGGUGACCGGCCACACUGGGACUGAGACACGGCCCAGACUCCUACGGGAGGCAGCAGUGGGGAAUAUUGCACAAUGGGCGAAAGCCUGAUGCAGCGACGCCGCGUGAGGGAUGACGGCCUUCGGGUUGUAAACCUCUUUCAGCAGGGACGAAGCGAGAGUGACGGUACCUGCAGAAGAAGCACCGGCUAACUACGUGCCAGCAGCCGCGGUAAUACGUAGGGUGCAAGCGUUGUCCGGAAUUACUGGGCGUAAAGAGUUCGUAGGCGGUUUGUCGCGUCGUUUGUGAAAACUCACAGCUCAACUGUGAGCCUGCAGGCGAUACGGGCAGACUUGAGUACUGCAGGGGAGACUGGAAUUCCUGGUGUAGCGGUGAAAUGCGCAGAUAUCAGGAGGAACACCGGUGGCGAAGGCGGGUCUCUGGGCAGUAACUGACGCUGAGGAACGAAAGCGUGGGUAGCAAACAGGAUUAGAUACCCUGGUAGUCCACGCCGUAAACGGUGGGCGCUAGGUGUGGGUUCCUUCCACGGGAUCU